UAAAUGUUGGACAACGUGUGA
Non-coding RNA from Caenorhabditis elegans, 21 nucleotides. The record is from Ensembl. NCBI's taxonomy places the organism in Eukaryota, Metazoa, Nematoda, Chromadorea, Rhabditida, Rhabditidae.